UCCGUAGGUGAACCUGCGGAAGGAUCAUUAUCGAGUUUUGAACGGGUUGUAGCUGACCUCUUUUUGGGGUAUGUGCACGCCUGGCUCAUCCACUCUCAACCUCUGUGCACUUCAUGUAAGAGAACGGUGUAAGCUGAUUUUGUAAAGAAGUCAGUGACAAGCCUUCUCUUGCGUUUUACCACAAACACUUCAGUUAUAGAAUGUUUACUGUGUAUAACACAAUUAUAUACAACUUUCAGCAACGGAUCUCUUGGCUCUCGCAUCGAUGAAGAACGCAGCGAAAUGCGAUAAGUAAUGUGAAUUGCAGAAUUCAGUGAAUCAUCGAAUCUUUGAACGCACCUUGCACUCCUUGGUAUUCCGAGGAGUAUGCCUGUUUGAGUCUCAUGGUAUUCUCAACCCCUAAAUUUUUCUAGUGAAGAUUUGGUGGGCUUGGACUUGGAGGUUGUGUUGGCUCUCGCUAGUCGACUCCUCUGAAAUACAUUAGUGUGAACCUUACGGAUCGCCUUCAGUGUGAUAAUUAUCUGCGCUGUGGUGGUGAAGUAUUUAUUGUAUUCACGCUUCUAACCGUCUCUCCUUCGAGACAAAUACUUUGACAAUCUGAGCUCAAAUCAGGUAGGAUUACCCGCUGAACUUAAGCAUAUCAAUAAGCGGAGGAAAAGAAACUAACAAGGAUUCCCCUA
Molecule: ribosomal RNA, 680 nt
Filed under: Flavodon sp. BAB-4961
Lineage: Eukaryota; Fungi; Basidiomycota; Agaricomycetes; Polyporales; Irpicaceae
Description: eukaryotic LSU rRNA
Rfam family: 5.8S ribosomal RNA (bases 231-384)
Source: RNAcentral